This is a non-coding RNA of Acanthosepion pharaonis, 112 nucleotides long. The record is from the annotation of a GenBank genome assembly. Lineage: Eukaryota; Metazoa; Mollusca; Cephalopoda; Sepiida; Sepiidae.
UUACGGCCAGAUCAUUUUAAAACAGCGGUUCCCGUACGAUCACUGAAGUUAAGCAGCGUCGAGCCUGGUCAAUACCUAGAUAAAUGACGGCUGGGAGUACCAGGAGCUGUAA